AUGGCCACCGUCCGUUCUCUCCGCAAAAGAUGGAGAGCCAAGCAGUACAUCUCCGCAGCUAUGCUGGGAACGCUGUUCGCUGUUGCCCUGGUAGCUGCUACCUCCAUCAGCCUCGCCCCAGCACGGAUGAGCUUCUCCGUCGUGAAAGCGGAAAUCGGCACCUACAAAAAGCCACUGACCGGUCCGGUCACCAACACACACUUAAACUUCGAUCUCGUGGCCAACAACACCAGCCAGCGCACGGCGGUUUGGUUUGACUCCGUGAGCGCCGAGAUAUGGUACGGCCCUGCGGCCACGGCUUGGGUCCGGACCAAGAAAGCAGGGCUACCAGCCGGGUGGCAACCGCCCAGGAGCGUGAUCAGCAUCAACGUCUCGGCUGACUACGGGGCGACACGAGCUGCGACAAACCCCAGAAGACUCUACCCUCCCCCCCCCUCCUUCUCCCUCUUGCCGUCAUCGGUGCAUCCGAGGGAAAAGCCCCCGUGGAGCCUGCGGUUGCGGGGCCUCUUCCAUGCGGUCGUUGGUGACGGCACAGAUCUGGCCGCGCCGCAGCCGUUCCUGGAGAGCCAGGCACGACCAACUACCUGGACGCCCGCCGAGAAGCAGAGGCGCAGGAGCUCCGCCUUUACUCGCCGCACCGCCAUGUCGCUUGACACCAGCUCCAUGCUCCGGCCCAAGGCGCCGGCCCAUGCCAACACUGAUCGAACAGGAGGACCACUAGGCCCCACCGCCACCGGCGAUGGCGACUGGAGUGUAGGAGGCGCGCGUGAUAAAGCCAAUCUUCGGGGGAACGAGGCCCCCCUGGUGGCCACAUCCGUAGUCAUGUUCGUCCUCGCCGUGCUCUUCUUCAUCCUCAACCUCUUCAGCCGUUCCUCCGAUAUGAGCACCAACCUCAACCCUACUGUCCGCCUCUUCCUCUCCACCUCGCUCUCUCUCUUCCUCCCCGCCAUGUCAUACCUCUUCUCGGAGGCCAAGAACGCGGUCGGCCAGACGGAGGACCUCUCGGUUCGAGCCCGGACGAUCCUCAUGUGGAUGUUCCUCGUGGAGCUCCUCCGCAAGAAGGUGGAGGCGAUUCUGGUCACCGCGGGCAUGCAGGGCUAUUCGGACACAAUCCACAGCGCCAGCCGGGUCGUCUGGCUAGGCAGCCUCGUCUUCUUCAACCUAAGAAGCGCCGGCAAGAAGGCAUUGUAUGGAACCCUGUGGGUUCUUGCAGCCGCCAAGUUGGUGCAGAGGUUCGUCACCGUAGAGCUGGGAAAGCGUUCCUUCGCCUAUGGCAAGAACCCCCAGCUUAUCGCCUCUUACAUGACCCAGAUGCUGAAGCUACAAGGUCAGGCUGGGUCGGAUGUUUUGAAGCGGUGCAACUACGUCGUGAUUGGUGAAGAGGAGCUGAAGAAGAAGGCCGGCCCCAAGGGUUACAAGCUCGAGGAGCUGGGGAAGGCAAUAUCAGAAGCCGACUCCAGUGUCGUCACGGUUGGCAAAAUCUGGGCUCUCGCUGAGAAAGACCCGAUGCUCCGUAAGGACCCGAAGCUGAAGCGGAUAUGUCUCUCCUUCGCCCUCUUCAAGAUGCUCCGCCGGAGGCUGGAGGAGUUCCCCAUCACCGACGCGGAAGCCUCCAACUGCCGCGACCUCAUCCUCAAAGGUCUGCGGCGAGAGGGCAUGGGUGGGGAGGAUGCCAUCCAACUAUUCAGCGACGAACUCCAGUUCCUCUGCGAGUACUACCACUCUGUACUUCGGGUGGUGUUUGCCAGCCCCUUCUUCUUCGUGCACAACUACAUCCUGUUCCCCAUCAUUGUAUGGGCAUUGUGCAUCCUCAUGCUCAUCUUGUGUAGCAACGGGGACGUGGCCUACGCCUGGCACAGCUUCAGGAAUGACAACUACGUCAUGUCCGGCAGCGUGCUGAGGAUGGCCAAGUGCGUCCUGGGCAAGGUUUGGGAGUCCCUGUCUACCCCUUUCGUCUUCUGCAGCAUCGACAUAUCCAUCACCAUCCUGCUUAUCCUCGCCUUCGCCUACGAGGAGGUGUGGGAGUUCAUCCUGUUCCUGCUCUCCAACUGGUUCAUGGUGUCACUGCUCUGCAGCCACACCUCCAUGCCGGAGUGGCGCACGCACCCGCUUCUGAGCAGGAUCAUCCCGUGCAUCGUCACGGUGAGGAACAUGAUGUACCACCCUACAGAGCCUGAGGACGGACGCGAGGCGGCCACGGCGUUGUCCGGAUACUGCGCCUACUUGGUGGCCUUCCAUCCGAAGCUCCUCCCGGACGACAAGGACGGGACGGAGCUGGUGUAUGCGGACAUGAAAAAGCAGCUGAGAGAGGAGAUGGGAGGCUGGUGGUGUUACUACCGCUCCGGUGAGAGCGACCGGUACACCAAGCUGAUGAAGGUCGCACGGACCAGGCAGGAGGAGACGACGGUGAUAAGCAAGGGAGCUAGGCUCGGGAAGGUUUUCAUCGACAGGUACAAAGAUGACGCACGCGAGAGAGUGUGGAAGCUGCUGGGCGACCUCUGGACUGAGGUGAUGCUGUAUGUGGCGCCGACGAGCGGCGAGCUGCACAUGAAGGCCCACAAGGAGGCGCUGGCCGAGGGCGGCGAGUUCAUCACCGUGCUCUGGGCGAUUGUCACCCACACCGGCAUAGCCCGCGCACCAGAGCCGGCAGAGGCGCCGCUUCGGACCAUCUCCAUUGCGGGUUAA
RNAcentral lists this ribosomal RNA (2685 nucleotides) under Triticum aestivum (bread wheat). RNAcentral's name for it is "partial small subunit ribosomal RNA". The record is from RNAcentral. Lineage: Eukaryota; Viridiplantae; Streptophyta; Magnoliopsida; Poales; Poaceae.